UUAGGCGAGGCCGAAAGGCGUAGUCGAUGGGAACCAGCUUAAUAUUCCUGGGCCAGGAGAUGGUGACGGAUCCCGAGGGUAGUUCGAUCUUAACGGAUUGAUCGGGCUGCUUAGGGGUCCCUGGAAAUAGCCCUCCACAAGACCGUACCCUAAACCGACACAGGUGGACUGGUAGAGAAUACCAAGGCGCUUGAGAGAACCACAUUUAAGGAACUCGGCAAAAUACCUCCGUAAGUUCGCGAGAAGGAGGCCCGGUUUUUGCGCAAGCAGAGGCCGGGGGCACAAACCAGGGGGUGGCGACUGUUUACUAAAAACACAGGGCUCUGCGAAGUCGUAAGACGACGUAUAGGGUCUGACGCCUGCCCGGUGCCGGAAGGUUAAAAGGAGAUGUGCAAGCAUUGAAUUGAAGCCCCGGUAAACGGCGGCCGUAACAAUAACGGUCCUAAGGUAGCGAAAUUCCUUGUCGGGUAAGUUCCGACCUGCACGAAUGGUGUAAUGAUGGCCAGGCUGUCUCCACCAGAGACUCAGUGAAAUUGAAAUUGCGGUGAAGAUGCCGUAUACCCGCGGCUAGACGGAAAGACCCCGUGAACCUUUACUACAGCUUUACAUUGAACUUUGACCUUACCUGUGUAGGAUAGGUGGGAGGCUUUGAAGUGGCGACGCUAGUUGCCAUGGAGCCGUCCUUGAAAUACCACCCUGGUAAUAUUGAGGUUCUAACUCUGUCCCGUUAUCCGGGACGAGGACCAUGUCUGGUGGGUAGUUUGACUGGGGCGGUCUCCUCCUAAAGAGUAACGGAGGAGUACGAAGGUGCGCUCAGCGUGGUCGGAAAUCACGCGUAGAGUAUAAAGGCAAAAGCGCGCUUAACUGCGAGACCCACAAGUCGAGCAGGUACGAAAGUAGGUCUUAGUGAUCCGGUGGUUCUGUAUGGAAGGGCCAUCGCUCAACGGAUAAAAGGUACUCUGGGGAUAACAGGCUGAUACCGCCCAAGAGUUCAUAUCGACGGCGGUGUUUGGCACCUCGAUGUCGGCUC
This 1030-nucleotide ribosomal RNA is filed under the name Cyathus bulleri. RNAcentral's name for it is "bacterial LSU rRNA". It matches the Rfam family "Bacterial large subunit ribosomal RNA", at positions 1392 to 2538 of the family's 2925-position model. Lineage: Eukaryota; Fungi; Basidiomycota; Agaricomycetes; Agaricales; Nidulariaceae. The record is from RNAcentral.